Cucumis sativus (cucumber) is the source of this 1096-nucleotide long non-coding RNA. RefSeq lists it as uncharacterized. The record is from RefSeq and is a predicted model, not a curated record. The transcript is spliced from 2 exons. Lineage: Eukaryota; Viridiplantae; Streptophyta; Magnoliopsida; Cucurbitales; Cucurbitaceae.
UCUAUUUCUUGCUUGUGGGUUUUGUCAUUUUCUUUGCCACAUUGUGUAUGGUUUUGUUGCUCUAAACUGGUAGGAUCUACAGCUGGAAAAUUUGGUGCAGUUUAGUGUACUUUUGAAUUUUGGGGUGUGUUUUGCUCCCGAUUUAAGUUACAUACCAACUUUUCACCAUAAGCUCAUUACCUUUUUUAUUUGGAUAACAUAUAGAAGAAACUUGAAGAAGAUAAAGAGGUGCAACUUAGCUAAACAGAGAACCUUCCCAUAAAUUAUCUAAGAUUCUCACUCGACGACAAUUAUUGGGGAUCCCAUGGUUGAUAAGUUCAGAAUAGCGAAGCAAAAUGGAAGAUCUCCUUGCUUUUUAAGGGAGGGAUAAAUGGCUUCUGAGACAAGUGGUAACUGGUAUUUACGGGGAAGGACCACUUGGAUGGAGAGAUUUUAAUACCCAAGGGAAGCUCAAAUGAUCGACCUUGGUUUGAAUCACUAAUAGAACUCCUUUGUUUGACAGAUUCACUAGUUUCAAAGUUGGUAAUGGGCAGUUUAUUAGUUCCUGAUAUGAUGUGUGUGUUGGCUCCUCUCCUCUUUAAGAUGGUUUCCAGAUAUUUUUAAUCUCUUUAAAUUGGGGUGCUAUGGUGGCUGAUUGUUGGGAUAACGAUCUGGGAACUUGGGUUCUAAGUGUUAGAGGAGACAUUUUGAUAGAGAGGUGGACAAUUGAAUGGUUUGACUAUUAAAUAUGGAGGUUGUCUUUGGCGUGUUUGAGCAUGUCCUCCAACGUUCAAUUAUUAAAAAAAACAAGGCAUGCUGAAUUGUGUGUCUGACUUGUGCCUGGCAUGUGCUCGAGUUUGUCAUGUGUUGAAUACCUAUAGAUAUCUACACUUCCUAAAAAAAGAAGUAUUUGUGGUUCCUAUUUCAUUAGAAACUCCCUGAUCACCCUAUCUCUCGAGUCUUUUCUCAAGAUCAAAUUUCAUUCUUGAUUAUUGAAAUUUCAACCAUCUUUGAUUAAAACAUCUUUUUUAUAUUAUAAUCACGUAUUGUUGUUGGAUCUAUCCUUUUAUUUCAAUCACGAACAAAAUGUUUCUAUUACGAAAAAAAAAAAAAAAAA